AACGCGAAGAACCUUACCAAGGUUUGACAUGCAGGGAAAAGCCGUAGAGAUAUGGUGUCCGUAAGGGUCCUGCACAGGUGGUGCAUGGCUGUCGUCAGCUCGUGUCGUGAGAUGUUGGGUUAAGUCCCGCAACGAGCGCAACCCUCGUCCUAUGUUGCCAGCGGGUAAUGCCGGGGACUCAUAGGAGACUGCCGGGGUCAACUCGGAGGAAGGUGGGGAUGACGUCAAGUCCUCAUGCCCCUUAUGUCUUGGGCUGCAAACAUGCUACAAUGGCCAGUACAAAGGGUUGCAAGACCGCAAGGUGGAGCGAAUCCCAAAAAGCUGGUCUCAGUUCGGAUUGGGGUCUGCAACUCGACCCCAUGAAGUCGGAGUCGCUAGUAAUCGCAGAUCAGCAACGCUGCGGUGAAUACGUUCCCGGGCCUUGUA
RNAcentral lists this ribosomal RNA (426 nucleotides) under uncultured Actinomycetes bacterium. RNAcentral's name for it is "bacterial SSU rRNA". It matches the Rfam family "Bacterial small subunit ribosomal RNA", at positions 958 to 1385 of the family's 1533-position model. Lineage: Bacteria; Bacillati; Actinomycetota; Actinomycetes. The record is from RNAcentral.